GGGGGCGACAUGGCUUCGACGUGGGUUGCAAAGCAGCGCAGGGCAUACCGAGGACGGACCACCUCGUAAAUACAAUCCGAAUCGUUUAUAACUGCAAACGACGAAACUUACGCUCUAGCCGCUUAGUCGGUUAGACCCUACACCAGCUUGCAUACGAGUUGGGCUGAGCAAUCGGCAGUAGGGUAAUCUCAGUAUGCUCGCGGUAAUCAGGGUUACUUUGAUUACUGUUAAAACCAAGGUGACUCGCUUGUUUCCAGCCUGUUUGGUGGGCGUGAAACAGGUCAAAGCCAAAUCACCAAACUAAGUAUGUAGAACUGUCUGUGGAGUGCUUGCGGACGGGGGUUCGAUCCCCCCCGCCUCCACCA
RNAcentral lists this transfer-messenger RNA (365 nucleotides) under Sulfuriferula sp. It matches the Rfam family "transfer-messenger RNA". Rfam says of the family: Bacterial tmRNA, also known as 10Sa RNA or SsrA, is named for its dual tRNA and mRNA-like properties. Its role is to liberate the mRNA from a stalled ribosome. RNAcentral also lists the same sequence under 1 other name. The record is from RNAcentral. Lineage: Bacteria; Pseudomonadati; Pseudomonadota; Betaproteobacteria; Nitrosomonadales; Sulfuricellaceae.